CAGCCGCCGCGGUAAUACAGAGGGUGCGAGCGUUAAUCGGAUUUACUGGGCGUAAAGCGUGCGUAGGCGGCUUUUUAAGUCGGAUGUGAAAUCCCUGAGCUUAACUUAGGAAUUGCAUUUGAUACUGGGAAGCUAGAGUAUGGGAGAGGAUGGUAGAAUUCCAGGUGUAGCGGUGAAAUGCGUAGAGAUCUGGAGGAAUACCGAUGGCGAAGGCAGCCAUCUGGCCUAAUACUGACGCUGAGGUACGAAAGCAUGGGGAGCAAACAGGAUUAGAUACCCCUGUAGUCCCUGUCUCUUAUAC
This 301-nucleotide ribosomal RNA is filed under the name uncultured bacterium. RNAcentral describes it as "partial 16S ribosomal RNA". It matches the Rfam family "Bacterial small subunit ribosomal RNA", at positions 509 to 807 of the family's 1533-position model. The record is from RNAcentral.